UGACGAUCAUGUUCUCCAUUCUGGUGUUCGGCCUCUUCACGCUCAUCGGGAUGGUCGGCGAGUGGUGUCCACUUUUAAAAGAAACAAAGGAUAAGCUCCAAAGCGAGGAGCUGUUGGUGUAAACGUCAAAAAGCAGCAGAGAAAUCAUUUCCUAUCAGGCGCUCCGAGGACAUCUUAACACCUUGAGCUUUUAUCAGCACUCCAAACAAAGACUGCCUGGGCUGACCUCUGAAAACAUAUGGGUGUACUCUGAGAAGAGACGCUUUUAUUUUCAUUCCAAGCACAAAGGAGUGCCUACAUUGUGCACUGAAAAAAAGUGGCACUUGGUUCAGCAGCUCCAGCGUCGCCUGCCAGCUGGCUCUGCUUUCUGGAGGCGAGGAGACAAAAUGCUUUUAUUUUGAAGUUUUAAUCUGGGGAAACAGCCUUCGCUAUUCUUCUCUCAUUGUAUAGAUGGAAUUGCCUUUCACUGGAGUUGAGCUCACCUUCAUCAUCAUAGCCUUCGUCAUAUUCUCCCUCUUCAGCUUGGCUUCAGUCUGCCUCCAGCCACGAGGGGUGCCGUCAGAGAACACUGGGUGUAAUGUCAGGAAGUCCAAACCACACAGCAGCAAGCUGAGAGUGAUCACCAAACAAGCUGGAGAGGAAUCAUAAAAACAGGAGACUCUGGUCAGCUGAACGAACUAAACUCCAUAUUUUAGGCCAUAUGUAAAAGAUUUGUCACUCCAGAUGAAGAUUUCCUAAUAAAUGGCUCAUUAUGUCCAUUAAAAACA
Austrofundulus limnaeus is the source of this 767-nucleotide long non-coding RNA. RefSeq lists it as uncharacterized. Lineage: Eukaryota; Metazoa; Chordata; Actinopteri; Cyprinodontiformes; Rivulidae. The transcript has 4 exons. The record is from RefSeq and is a predicted model, not a curated record.